Molecule: ribosomal RNA, 307 nt
Filed under: Aspergillus protuberus
Lineage: Eukaryota; Fungi; Ascomycota; Eurotiomycetes; Eurotiales; Aspergillaceae
Description: SSU rRNA
Rfam family: Eukaryotic small subunit ribosomal RNA
Source: RNAcentral
CCGCGGGCCGCUGGCUUCUUAGGGGGACUAUCGGCUCAAGCCGAUGGAAGUGCGCGGCAAUAACAGGUCUGUGAUGNCCUUAGAUGUUCUGGGCNGCACGCGCGCUACACUGACAGGGCCAGCGAGUACAUCACCUUGGCCGAGAGGCCCGGGUAAUCUUGUUAAAGCCUGUCGUGCUGGGGAUAGAGCAUUGCAAUUAUUGCUCUUCAACGAGGAAUGCCUAGUAGGCACGAGUCAUCAGCUCGUGCCGAUUACGUCCCUGCCCUUUGUACACACCGCCCGUCGCUACUACCGAUUGAAUGGCUCG